AUCCUAGAUCUGGAUGCCCUUCAGGGAACCUAAAAACCAGCGAGUCCCGGAAAGGCCUCUGGUAAUUGCCAAGCCGAAAGCCUUCUGCCACUUAGUUAAUGUGCACCUGGCAGCUUAGGUGGCCGCGGAGAAAGCAACUUUGGCUGCAUCAAGGUCCGGCACAAGUCUAGAGAAGCUUCAGCCAGUUCCAGCUUUGGUAUCAGGAUGAUGCUGGCCUCAUAAAAUGAGUUAGGGAGGAUUCCCUCUUUUUCUAUUGAUUGGAAUAGUUUCAGAAGGAAUGGUACCAGCUCCUCCUUGUACCUAUGAUAGAAUUCGUCUGUGAAUCCAUCUGGUCCUGGACUCUUUUUGGUUGAUGGCUGGAGUCAGCUGGCAAAUACAGAAGCAGGAAACAUUACACUGAAGCUCAGAAAAUAAUAUCCCCAAAUGAAGGCAUCAGAAAUAAAAGUUCUUCUCUGACCUUCUUUCUCUCAAGGUCAUAAGACCUCCAUUCCAUAGAGGGUCCUGUGCCACACCCAGAAGGAAGGAACGCUGCUCAGAGAGGCCAAGAGGAGUCUAGACAGACAGGCCCUGCUGGGGUUUCCCAACUUCAUCUAUUAGCAUUAGAUCAUACCCUUAUUGUCCAAUCAUAUUUCUGCAUCACUGCUCAUACUUUGUUGAACCUAAGCAAAAAUUGGACAAUUUUCUGUGUAUUUUUGGGUCCUCAUUCAGAAGGUUCCUGUGUGUAUAUGUUAAAUAAAUUUUUAUGAUUUUUCUCCAA
Pongo pygmaeus (Bornean orangutan) is the source of this 757-nucleotide long non-coding RNA. RefSeq lists it as uncharacterized. The record is from RefSeq and is a predicted model, not a curated record. NCBI's taxonomy places the organism in Eukaryota, Metazoa, Chordata, Mammalia, Primates, Hominidae. The transcript has 4 exons.